This 74-nucleotide transfer RNA is filed under the name Dactylosporangium siamense. RNAcentral's name for it is "tRNA-Ala". It matches the Rfam family "tRNA". Rfam says of the family: Transfer RNA (tRNA) molecules are approximately 80 nucleotides in length. Their secondary structure includes four short double-helical elements and three loops (D, anti-codon, and T loops). The record is from RNAcentral. Lineage: Bacteria; Bacillati; Actinomycetota; Actinomycetes; Micromonosporales; Micromonosporaceae.
GGGGUUGUAGCUCAGUUGGAAGAGCGCCGGCUCGGCAGGCCGGAGGCCCGGGGUUCGAUUCCCCGCUUCUCCAC